GAUGAACGCUGGCGGCGUGCCUAAUACAUGCAAGUCGAGCGAACGGACGAGAAGCUUGCUUCUCUGAUGUUAGCGGCGGACGGGUGAGUAACACGUGGAUAACCUACCUAUAAGACUGGGAUAACUUCGGGAAACCGGAGCUAAUACCGGAUAAUAUUUUGAACCGAAUGGUUAAAAAGUGAAAGACGGUCUUGCUGUCACUGAUAGAUGGAUCCGCGCUGCAUUAGCUAGUUGGUAAGGUAACGGCUUACCAAGGCAACGAUGCAUAGCCGACCUGAGAGGGUGAUCGGCCACACUGGAACUGAGACACGGUCCAGACUCCUACGGGAGGCAGCAGUAGGGAAUCUUCCGCAAUGGGCGAAAGCCUGACGGAGCAACGCCGCGUGAGUGAUGAAGGUCUUCGGAUCGUAAAACUCUGUUAUUAGGGAAGAACAUAUGUGUAUGUAACUGUGCACAUCUUGACGGUACCUAAUCAGAAAGCCACGGCUAACUACGUG
This 497-nucleotide ribosomal RNA is filed under the name uncultured bacterium. Its description in RNAcentral is "partial 16S ribosomal RNA". It matches the Rfam family "Bacterial small subunit ribosomal RNA", at positions 28 to 507 of the family's 1533-position model. The record is from RNAcentral.